This 279-nucleotide long non-coding RNA is filed under the name Lathyrus oleraceus (garden pea). RNAcentral's name for it is "Pisum sativum (pea) long non-coding RNA (PSAT_LNC023463)". Lineage: Eukaryota; Viridiplantae; Streptophyta; Magnoliopsida; Fabales; Fabaceae. The record is from RNAcentral.
GUAAAUGAAAGAUGACUCGCGGGGGAUAAAUUGCUUGACAAAAGCAAUUAUCCAAGAGAUAUAUCACCGGUUACUGGGUGGUAUACUUGAAAGUGGAGGAAUAUCAAUACCGAAUAUUUGAUAAAGAUAACCAACAAAGAGGGGAUUACAUCUUCCGGUUACUGGGUAGAAAACCACAGAAAUAGGACUUACAACUACCGAUUACUGGGUAGAAAGCCACAAAAAUAAGACUUACAACUACCGGUUACUGAGUGGAAGGCCACAGAAAUAGGACUUACA